RNAcentral lists this transfer RNA (84 nucleotides) under Vibrio sp. B172a. RNAcentral's name for it is "tRNA-Arg". Lineage: Bacteria; Pseudomonadati; Pseudomonadota; Gammaproteobacteria; Vibrionales; Vibrionaceae. The record is from RNAcentral.
GUAGCAUUGCUUCUUGUUUGGUCAUGCGGGUGCUAUCCCCUCCUAAGGGACAGGUCGUAGGUUCGAAUCCUACUGGGGGCGCCA